ACACUCUGGUUUCUCUUCAAACCACGCAUAAAUCUUUCGCCUUUUACUAAAGAUUUCCGUGGAGAGGAACAUUGAAUGAGUCUAUAGACCAUUUUUUCAACCCUGUUACACACAGGGU
Ylistrum balloti is the source of this 118-nucleotide small nuclear RNA. RefSeq annotates it as U5 spliceosomal RNA. The record is from RefSeq and is a predicted model, not a curated record. NCBI's taxonomy places the organism in Eukaryota, Metazoa, Mollusca, Bivalvia, Pectinida, Pectinidae. The transcript has a single exon.